This is a long non-coding RNA of Phyllostomus discolor (pale spear-nosed bat), 552 nucleotides long. RefSeq lists it as uncharacterized. Lineage: Eukaryota; Metazoa; Chordata; Mammalia; Chiroptera; Phyllostomidae. The transcript has 4 exons. The record is from RefSeq and is a predicted model, not a curated record.
GACCAGGCAUCGGGGGUCCACAGGCCUGGGCACAGCUGUGCUGCCCCCGCUGUGAGGGGCACUGUGGCAGCACGUGCCAGUGUCAGAGGCUCAGGCUCUGAGACCAGCCCGGCUCCCGGAACUGGGCCUGUGGGGCCUGAACCAGGUGCCCUCGCCCCGGCCCCUCUCCUGGUCCGGGGCUAACCUGCAGGCUCCCCACCGCACCGAGCGGGGACUCUUUUCCCUUCUGGUGGCACGGUGGCCCACGAGGGGCAUGUUCUUUGGAUUCUUUUGGCUCCUGUUCAAGACCCAGCUGAUUCAGAAGGGUUGAGACCAAAGCUCCCCACACCGUUCCCCCCAUCCCACCCCCCUGAUGAAGAUGCCCACAGUCCGAAUGAGGAUGAACAUGGCCACCACCGGAACGAGGGUCAAGAUCCCAGCGCUCCCUAGAAAACGAGACCCCGAGGAAACUUGCUUGGGGAUUUUCCAUGGCAGACUUGCAAAUUUUCUUAAAAGUUUAAAGCAACAUAUCCAGACUGGACUGCUGUCAGGAGCUGCCUGACUUGAGGGGGG